This 253-nucleotide ribosomal RNA is filed under the name uncultured bacterium. RNAcentral describes it as "partial 16S ribosomal RNA". It matches the Rfam family "Bacterial small subunit ribosomal RNA", at positions 524 to 776 of the family's 1533-position model. The record is from RNAcentral.
UACGGGGGGGGCAAGCGUUGUUCGGAAUUACUGGGCGUAAAGGGCUCGUAGGCGGCCAACUAAGUCAGACGUGAAAUCCCUCGGCUUAACCGGGGAACUGCGUCUGAUACUGAGUGGCUUGAAUUCGGGAGAGGGAUGCAGAAUUCCAGGUGUAGCGGUGAAAUGCGUAGAUAUCUGGAGGAAUACCGGUGGCGAAGGCGGCAUCCUGGACCGAGAUUGACACUGAGGAGCGAAAGCCAGGGGAGCAAACGGG